GGGUGUAUGGCCUAAUGGAUAAGGCGCUUGACUUCGAAUCAAGAGAUUCGGGGAUCGAAACCCUGUACGCCCU
Rhagoletis zephyria (snowberry fruit fly) is the source of this 73-nucleotide non-coding RNA. The record is from the annotation of a RefSeq genome assembly. NCBI's taxonomy places the organism in Eukaryota, Metazoa, Arthropoda, Insecta, Diptera, Tephritidae.